Non-coding RNA from Triticum aestivum (bread wheat), 135 nucleotides. The record is from Rfam. Lineage: Eukaryota; Viridiplantae; Streptophyta; Magnoliopsida; Poales; Poaceae.
UUAGUACUCCCUCCGAUCCAUAUUACUCGUCUUAGAUUUGUCUAGAUAUGGAUGUAUGUAACACUAAAACAUGUCUAGAUACAUCCAUAUCUAGACAAAUCUAAGAAAAUUAAUAUGGAUUGGAGGGUGUACAAU